CCUACGGGCGGCAGCAGUGGGGAAUAUUGGACAAUGGGGGGAACCCUGAUCCAGCGACGCCGCGUGAGUGAAGAAGUAUUUCGGUAUGUAAAGCUCUAUCAGCAGGGAAGAAAGAAAUGACGGUACCUGACUAAGAAGCCCCGGCUAACUACGUGCCAGCAGCCGCGGUAAUACGUAGGGGGCAAGCGUUAUCCGGAAUUACUGGGUGUAAAGGGAGCGUAGACGGUGAUGUAAGUCUGGAGUGAAGGGCGGGGGGCCAACCCCCGGACUGCUCUGGAAACUAGGUGACUGGAGUGCAGGAGAGGUGAGCGGAAUGCGUAGUGUAGCGGUGAAAUGCGUAGAUAUUAGGAGGAACACCAGUGGCGAAGGCGACUCACUGGACUGUAACUGACGUUGAGGCUCGAAAGCGUGGGGAGCAAACAGGAUUAGAUACCCUAGUAGUC
This 443-nucleotide ribosomal RNA is filed under the name uncultured bacterium. RNAcentral's name for it is "partial 16S ribosomal RNA". It matches the Rfam family "Bacterial small subunit ribosomal RNA", at positions 338 to 795 of the family's 1533-position model. The record is from RNAcentral.